Long non-coding RNA from Sander lucioperca (pikeperch), 1366 nucleotides. RefSeq lists it as uncharacterized. The transcript has 6 exons. NCBI's taxonomy places the organism in Eukaryota, Metazoa, Chordata, Actinopteri, Perciformes, Percidae. The record is from RefSeq and is a predicted model, not a curated record.
GACAACCAACCAAACAUAAAAUAUAUGCAGAAGAUUCACACGUUUUUCUGGGCAAUGAAUGACGAACGUUACUGCUUUUGCGUCAUACUGAAGCUCACGUUGACCGCCAUGUUUAGGAAUCUUGAUUAGCGCAAUUUAACGUCCAGCAACAACACACAUGUUACCAGGAAGUUAAUGUGCUCAUAAAUUCGGUUUUGUUUCUCCGAAACACGAGUGAACUUUGGUGUGACAUCUGAAAGGUGGAGGCAGCUUUGGACUUACUGGAGUUGGCAUUAUAUUUAUUGGAAAACCACCACCCCAACCCCUUAUCCUCUCCUCACCCCUCUGCCCAGUCUUUGUCUCCUCCAGAGUCUCUAGGAGCUUGAUAUGGAGCUUAUGGGAAAAAGGAGGAAGAUCAAUCCUGGUGUCAGCAGCUCAGCGCACAUCUCUCCCAGUAACGGCAGGACAAGUGUCAGCUGGAGGAGAGGCAGCUGCCGCCAUGCAGAGAGCGAGAGAGCGAGAGAGAGAGAGACCUCUACACGUGCCAUGGAAGAAACCAGAAUCUCCAGUGAGUGAGCGCCUUGACUUCUUGGUUCUGGGAGUUGAUGGCCCAGCAGGUCUGCCUGCAUUUGAAUGUCAAAGAGCAUCUCGGAGCUGUCACGGCCCGUCUGCCACACGGGAGAAACUUCCCUCCAGUCCUCGCCGUUAACCACAAGGCACCUGGACAGGAGAGAGGAUGGCGUGGAGUGGCGGUUGAUGUGAAGGAAAGACAAUCAGGAGAGCAGAGACUGAAGUCUUUUGCUGCCGUCAGAGUGAUUAGGUGUGGCUGCGGAGGCCAGCUUCCUACCCCCAUCUUCAGCAGGUCCUAAUUUUAUGUGUCUCCAAUCCCCUGAAGAUGGGCAGUAAUCAGUUUGUUCCUGUCUGCUGGCUUUCUGGGAGGGAAAGGCGGCACUAAUCAGAAGUGGCGUAGCACUCGCAGAUGCCAGGCAAAGGGGAGGGGAGCGAGAUGACACUCACGGAUUUAUUACCUCCCCAUCUCUAUCCUGAGCUGGGCGAAUCCUGCAUAAAAUGGGCAAAAUAAAUUAAGCUAACCACCGUGUUAAUCAAACAUAGCAAAAGCAAGCAUGGAAAUCCUGAACCAUGAGAGACCUCUUGAGUUUUGCCUUUGUGCUGAAGCUGUUUGUAUUUUGCUGCUUUGCACGUAUGACUUAUUAUCCUCAAUUCAUUGUUACCAUUUCUUUUAUCAUUUAGAUUUUCUCUACUGUGCCUCCAAGAUCAAAAUGUGAUUCAUUUUUAGUAAAUGGUACAGUAAAUUACAUUCAAACUAUGUGCUUAAUAUAUCGGCUGCAAUUAAUGACUAUUUUUCAUCAUUGAUUAAUCUGCAGAU